This 465-nucleotide ribosomal RNA is filed under the name uncultured bacterium. RNAcentral describes it as "partial 16S ribosomal RNA". It matches the Rfam family "Bacterial small subunit ribosomal RNA", at positions 338 to 795 of the family's 1533-position model. The record is from RNAcentral.
CCUACGUGAGGCAGCAGUGGGGAAUAUUGCGCAAUGGGCGAAAGCCUGACGCAGCGACGCCGCGUGAGGGAUGAAGGUCUUCGGAUCGUAAACCUCUGUCAGCAGGGAAGAACGGUCACUGUGCUAAUCAGCAGUGAAUUGACGGUACCUGCAAAGGAAGCACCGGCUAACUCCGUGCCAGCAGCCGCGGGAAUACGGGGGGUGCGAGCGUUAAUCGGAAUUACUGGGCGUAAAGCGCUCGUAGGCGGUAUGUCAAGUCAAGGGUGAAAUCCCCGCGCUAAACGUGGGAACUGCCUUUGAAACUGGCAAACUGGAGUGUGUGAGAGGAUAGUGGAAUUCCAGGUGUAGGAGUGAAAUCCGUAGAUAUCUGGAGGAACAUCAGUGGCGAAGGCGACUAUCUGGCACAUAACUGACGCUGAGGAGCGAAAGCGUGGGUAGCAAACAGGAUUAGAUACCCGAGUAGUC